Molecule: ribosomal RNA, 465 nt
Filed under: Vreelandella stevensii
Lineage: Bacteria; Pseudomonadati; Pseudomonadota; Gammaproteobacteria; Oceanospirillales; Halomonadaceae
Description: partial 16S ribosomal RNA
Rfam family: Bacterial small subunit ribosomal RNA
Source: RNAcentral
CCUACGGGCGGCAGCAGUGGGGAAUAUUGGACAAUGGGCGAAAGCCUGAUCCAGCCAUGCCGCGUGUGUGAAGAAGGCCUUCGGGUUGUAAAGCACUUUCAGUGGGGAAGAAAGCCUUGGGGCUAAUACCCUCGAGGAAGGACAUCACCCACAGAAGAAGCACCGGCUAACUCCGUGCCAGCAGCCGCGGUAAUACGGAGGGUGCGGGCGUUAAUCGGAAUUACUGGGCGUAAAGCGCGCGUAGGCGGUCUGAUAAGCCGGUUGUGAAAGCCCCGGGCUCAACCUGGGAACGGCAUCCGGAACUGUCAGGCUAGAGUGCAGGAGAGGAAGGUAGAAUUCCCGGUGUAGCGGUGAAAUGCGUAGAGAUCGGGAGGAAUACCAGUGGCGAAGGCGGCCUUCUGGACUGACACUGACGCUGAGGUGCGAAAGCGUGGGUAGCAAACAGGAUUAGAUACCCUAGUAGUC